UAGCUCAGUUGGUAGAGCGCCUCACUUGUAAUGAGGAUGUCGUGGGUUCAACUCCU
This 56-nucleotide transfer RNA is filed under the name Thiotrichales bacterium. RNAcentral describes it as "tRNA-Thr". It matches the Rfam family "tRNA", at positions 8 to 61 of the family's 71-position model. From Rfam's summary of the family: Transfer RNA (tRNA) molecules are approximately 80 nucleotides in length. Their secondary structure includes four short double-helical elements and three loops (D, anti-codon, and T loops). Further hydrogen bonds mediate the characteristic L-shaped molecular structure. tRNAs have two regions of fundamental functional importance: the anti-codon, which is responsible for specific mRNA codon recognition, and the 3' end, to which the tRNAs corresponding amino acid is attached (by aminoacyl-tRNA synthetases). tRNAs cope with the degeneracy of the genetic code in two manners: having more than one tRNA (with a specific anti-codon) for a particular amino acid; and 'wobble' base-pairing, i.e. permitting non-standard base-pairing at the 3rd anti-codon position. The record is from RNAcentral. Lineage: Bacteria; Pseudomonadati; Pseudomonadota; Gammaproteobacteria; Thiotrichales.